Molecule: ribosomal RNA, 443 nt
Filed under: uncultured Comamonas sp.
Lineage: Bacteria; Pseudomonadati; Pseudomonadota; Betaproteobacteria; Burkholderiales; Comamonadaceae
Description: bacterial SSU rRNA
Rfam family: Bacterial small subunit ribosomal RNA
Source: RNAcentral
UGGAUGAUGUGGUUUAAUUCGAUGCAACGCGAAAACCUUACCCACCUUGACAUGUACGGAAUCCUUUAGAGAUAGAGGAGUGCUCGAAAGAGAGCCGUAACACAGGUGCUGCAUGGCUGUCGUCAGCUCGUGUCGUGAGAUGUUGGGUUAAGUCCCGCAACGAGCGCAACCCUUGUCAUUAGUUGCUACGAAAGGGCACUCUAAUGAGACUGCCGGUGACAAACCGGAGGAAGGUGGGGAUGACGUCAAGUCCUCAUGGCCCUUAUAGGUGGGGCUACACACGUCAUACAAUGGCUGGUACAAAGGGUUGCCAACCCGCGAGGGGGAGCCAAUCCCAUAAAGCCAGUCGUAGUCCGGAUCGCAGUCUGCAACUCGACUGCGUGAAGUCGGAAUCGCUAGUAAUCGUGGAUCAGCAUGUCACGGUGAAUACGUUCCCGGGUCUU